AUUGAACGUUUGCGGCAGGCCUAACACAUGCAAGUCGAACGGUAGCACAGAGAGCUUGCUCUCGGGUGACGAGUGGCGGACGGGUGAGUAAUGUCUGGGAAACUGCCUGAUGGAGGGGGAUAACUACUGGAAACGGUAGCUAAUACCGCAUAACGUCGCAAGACCAAAGAGGGGGACCUUCGGGCCUCUUGCCAUCAGAUGUGCCCAGAUGGGAUUAGCUAGUAGGUGGGGUAACGGCUCACCUAGGCGACGAUCCCUAGCUGGUCUGAGAGGAUGACCAGCCACACUGGAACUGAGACACGGUCCAGACUCCUACGGGAGGCAGCAGUGGGGAAUAUUGCACAAUGGGCGCAAGCCUGAUGCAGCCAUGCCGCGUGUAUGAAGAAGGCCUUCGGGUUGUAAAGUACUUUCAGCGGGGAGGAAGGCGAUAAGGUUAAUAACCUUGUCGAUUGACGUUACCCGCAGAAGAAGCACCGGCUAACUCCGUGCCAGCAGCCGCGGUAAUACGGAGGGUGCAAGCGUUAAUCGGAAUUACUGGGCGUAAAGCGCACGCAGGCGGUCUGUCAAGUCGGAUGUGAAAUCCCCGGGCUCAACCUGGGAACUGCAUUCGAAACUGGCAGGCUGGAGUCUUGUAGAGGGGGGUAGAAUUCCAGGUGUAGCGGUGAAAUGCGUAGAGAUCUGGAGGAAUACCGGUGGCGAAGGCGGCCCCCUGGACAAAGACUGACGCUCAGGUGCGAAAGCGUGGGGAGCAAACAGGAUUAUAUACCCUGGUAGUCCACGCUGUAAACGAUGUCGACUUGGAGGUUGUUCCCUUGAGGAGUGGCUUCCGGAGCUAACGUGUUAAGUCCACCGCCUGGGGAGUACGGCCGCAAGGUUAAAACUCAAAUGAAUUGACGGGGGCCCGCACAAGCGGUGGAGCAUGUGGUUUAAUUCGAUGCAACGCGAAGAACCUUACCUACUCUUGACAUCCAGAGAACUUAGCAGAGAUGCUUUGGUGCCUUCGGGAACUCUGAGACAGGUGCUGCAUGGCUGUCGUCAGCUCGUGUUGUGAAAUGUUGGGUUAAGUCCCGCAACGAGCGCAACCCUUAUCCUUUGUUGCCAGCGGUCCGGCCGGGAACUCAAAGGAGACUGCCAGUGAUAAACUGGAGGAAGGUGGGGAUGACGUCAAGUCAUCAUGGCCCUUACGAGUAGGGCUACACACGUGCUACAAUGGCAUAUACAAAGAGAAGCGACCUCGCGAGAGCAAGCGGACCUCAUAAAGUAUGUCGUAGUCCGGAUUGGAGUCUGCAACUCGACUCCAUGAAGUCGGAAUCGCUAGUAAUCGUGGAUCAGAAUGCCACGGUGAAUACGUUCCCGGGCCU
This 1361-nucleotide ribosomal RNA is filed under the name uncultured bacterium. RNAcentral describes it as "bacterial SSU rRNA". It matches the Rfam family "Bacterial small subunit ribosomal RNA", at positions 28 to 1381 of the family's 1533-position model. The record is from RNAcentral.